RNAcentral lists this unclassified non-coding RNA (237 nucleotides) under plant metagenome. Its description in RNAcentral is "partial contains small subunit ribosomal RNA, internal transcribed spacer 1, and 5.8S ribosomal RNA". The record is from RNAcentral.
UCUCCGUUGGUGAACCGGCGGAGGGAUCAUUAAAGAGUUCUAUAACUCCCAAACCCAUGUGAACAUACCUUACGUUGCCUCGGCAGGUCGUGCCUACCCCGUAGCGUCCUACCCUGUAGGACCUACCCGGUAGACGAGCGUAAGCCUGCCGGCGUCCCACGAAACUCUGUUUAGUUUUGAAUUCUGAACCUAUAACUAAAUAAGUUAAAACUUUCAACAACGGAUCUCUUGGUUCUA